GUAGGUGAACCUGCGGAAGGAUCAUUAACACGUAUCCACGUUAAUCCACCCGUGCACUUUCACAAUCUCUUUUUUCUGACGGAUGGUCGUGCCGUCUUUUUCUGGUGUGGUGUUGGCUUGCCUUCACUGCUCUGGAUCAAGGGGGGGUUCGCACGCGAGUGCGCACACUUUAAGGUAACCACGCGUCAGAAAGAAGAGGCCGUUGGCUUUGGUGGCUGUUCUGCUUCGAGGGAUCUGCCUUUCUCUCCGG
This 250-nucleotide unclassified non-coding RNA is filed under the name plant metagenome. Its description in RNAcentral is "partial contains small subunit ribosomal RNA, internal transcribed spacer 1, and 5.8S ribosomal RNA". The record is from RNAcentral.